This 533-nucleotide ribosomal RNA is filed under the name Starmerella etchellsii. RNAcentral describes it as "LSU rRNA". It matches the Rfam family "Eukaryotic large subunit ribosomal RNA", at positions 1 to 542 of the family's 3401-position model. The record is from RNAcentral. Lineage: Eukaryota; Fungi; Ascomycota; Dipodascomycetes; Dipodascales; Trichomonascaceae.
UUUUUAUGGCCCCCAAUCAAGCAAGAUUACCCGCCGAACUUAAGCAUAUCAAUAAGCGGAGGAAAAGAAACCAACAGGGAUUGCCCUAGUAACGGCGAGUGAACAGGCAAGAGCUCAGAUUUGAAAGCCUUUUUGGCAUUGUAUUCUGAAGUCAGUUUCCUGAGUAUCGGUGUUUAAGUCUUCUGGAAAGGAGCGCCAUGGAGGGUGAUAGCCCCGUACGACACCUCACUCAUUGUAGGAUUCUGACGUGGAGUCGAGUUGUUUGGGAAUGCAGCUCAAAAGGGUGGUAUGCUCCAUCUAAAGCUAAAUAUCUGUGAGAGACCGAUAGCGAACAAGUACUGUGAAGGAAAGAUGAAAAGAACUUUGAAAAGAGAGUGAAAAAGUACGUGAAAUUGUUGAAAUGGAAGGAUAUGCCGCUAACAAUGUAGAGCCGUGUUUGGGGGGAAGACAAAAGCUGAAGAAUGUAUCUCUUUUAGGGAAUUAUAACUUCAGUCAAUAUUCCCAUCCGGGCGCGAGACUCAGGCUCUACCAAA